Long non-coding RNA from Pseudophryne corroboree (corroboree frog), 1125 nucleotides. RefSeq lists it as uncharacterized. Lineage: Eukaryota; Metazoa; Chordata; Amphibia; Anura; Myobatrachidae. The transcript is spliced from 3 exons. The record is from RefSeq and is a predicted model, not a curated record.
UUUUAAAUACACGCCAAAUUAAGUAAUCCAGAUUAUCUUAAGCAGAAAUUAGUUUACUUUACAUUACGUACAAAAUGGUUACAGUACACUAAGGUUUUGCAGUUAACAAUGUGUUUUCCAAGUAUGGUCAUAAUGUUUGUUUAAUUUUUUCAACAGUACGCCAGACCAGCGCUCCAGACAGGCCACUGCCAACUGAUGUGGGUGCUGGGAUUGCAGGUUCUUCUUCUGCAAGCCGCCCUCUAAGGCGCCCAUCACAGGGCUCUGUAAACUUACCCAGGAGGCCAAGUAAGACGCGCCGUGUGGAUUUGGAAUCAGCGGAUCCAUCUUCCCCACCCAGGCGGCGCAUCUCUGCAGUCUUGUCCCAGCCACCACAGGCACUAUUGAGUAGUCCCCAAAGUGAUGAGCCCAGAUCACCUCAGUUAUCUGAACCAACCUUCAUGGCCGACGUGGACCAGCAGGAACCAGACCAACAGGCCACCUAUACACUGCAACUAACACCCGUUGUUCCGACCCAGGCAACCCAGCCGCAGGAUAUCCCCCAACCCUCCAUUAGUCCACAACUGCUCCAAGCUCCACCCCAGCAACAAAUGUCCGCGGACUUUUGGUCCAGUUUGGCAACCCAACAGAGCCAAAACACUGCCUGCCUGAACGCCCACACCCAACACCUUACCAGUCUGCCCCAUCAUCUGCCGCGCAUUAGUAGGAACUCGGGCAGACUGAUUGUCCAGGUAGGCAGAAUUGCCACUUCUAUGGAGCAAAUCCGGACCGACAACACUCAAAUGCUGGCUAAUUUAACGCGCAUCAUUGAUGAGCAACAGCGCCAGCAGCAAGCACUCAUCCAACUGGUCCAACACAAUCAGGUGGUAAAUGAGUCAUUGUCGAGGAUUGUGGCCAGCCACACUGAAAGUAACAACCAACUGAAUGCCAGCAUCCACAAUUUAAGCCAAAGCAUCACUUUGAUGGCAGCACAACAAGUGAGCUCCAGCUCAGGAACCACGACCCCUAGCCAAACCCCAGUAACCUCCCCUGUUCGUAGAUCCUCCCGAGCACGUGCCAGCGACCCAGCACAAAGCACGGCACCCAGCACACACAAGAAAAAAAAAUAACACCAAAAUAUAAUUUUAG